Molecule: ribosomal RNA, 440 nt
Filed under: uncultured bacterium
Lineage: Bacteria
Description: partial 16S ribosomal RNA
Rfam family: Bacterial small subunit ribosomal RNA
Source: RNAcentral
CCUACGGGUGGCUGCAGUGGGGGAUAUUGCACAAUGGGGGAAACCCUGAUGCAGCGACGCCGCGUGGGUGAAGAAGCGCCUCGGCGCGUAAAGCCCUGUCAGCAGGGAAGAAAAUGACGGUACCUGAAGAAGAAGCCCCGGCUAACUACGUGCCAGCAGCCGCGGUAAUACGUAGGGGGCAAGCGUUAUCCGGAUUUACUGGGUGUAAAGGGGGCGCAGACGGCGAUGCAAGCCAGGAGUGAAAGCCCGGGGCCCAACCCCGGGACUGCUCUUGGAACUGCGUGGCUAGAGUGCCGGAGGGGCAGGCGGAAUUCCUGGUGGAGCGGGGAAAUGCGGAGAUAUUAGGAGGAACACCGGUGGGGAAGGCGGCCUGGUGGAAGGUAACUGACGUUGAGGCCCGAAAACGUGGGGAGCAAACAGGAUUAGAGACCCUGGUAGUC